Long non-coding RNA from Trematomus bernacchii (emerald rockcod), 828 nucleotides. RefSeq lists it as uncharacterized. The transcript has 4 exons. The record is from RefSeq and is a predicted model, not a curated record. NCBI's taxonomy places the organism in Eukaryota, Metazoa, Chordata, Actinopteri, Perciformes, Nototheniidae.
UUUUUUGGACAUACUAUACUAUGUCGUUUUUGUUCAUUUUUUUGGACAUACUAUACUUUGUUCAUUUUUUGCAUUUUUAUAUAUUAUAUAUAUUUUCAUUCUACUAAACUGACGUCAUGGUGUCUUUUUCUUCUUUUCCCGGAACACCGAGUGCAAGUACAUCUGACAUCAAUGAAGACGGUGGCUUCUGGAGUUUCUGAAGAACUUACGGACUGCGAGGACAAUCAUCUGACAUCAACGAAGACGGUGGCUUCUUGAGUUUCUAAAGAACUUACGGACUGCAAGGACAUUCAUCUGACAUCAAUGAAGACGGUGGCUUCUGGAGUUUCUGAAGAACUUACGAGAGUGAAGAGAGGACCCCCCCCCCCAUCAUCGGCUGCCUAUGUUGCUGAAAAACUUGUGGACGUUUUCAGCCUUGGGGAAGUAUAGCAGACUUAGCAGCCUUUGGGACUUAUAGCAGACUUAACAGACUAUCGAUGUGGCUGUGAGAGGGUUAGGGGUUAGGGUUCACAGCCACUUAGCAGACCGACUUGGGGCGGUGGCUGGGGUGCCGAGCGCCCCCCCCCCCAGCCACAUCAGCCCCCCGACUUAGCAGACUUAGCAGGCCUACAGACUUAGCAGACUAUCGGCAGUGGCUGCAGGGCCAGUCUCACUGCCAGGAGUGCAGUGAGAGCCGGCAGCCACCUGUCGGCCGCUUAGCAGACUUGGGGACGUUUAGCAGACUUAGCAGACUUGGGGACAUUUAGCAGACUUGGGGAAAAGGCUGCACUGCUAUGUAUGAAUUGUAUGAAUAAAAUGUGAAUUAAAAAAAAAGUUUCUUAAAAUACA